Lolium perenne is the source of this 2384-nucleotide non-coding RNA. The record is from RefSeq and is a predicted model, not a curated record. Lineage: Eukaryota; Viridiplantae; Streptophyta; Magnoliopsida; Poales; Poaceae.
UACAAUACUACAUCGCCUCCCUCACGAGUCACGAACCAUGGAACCAGCGCCGCCGCUUCCUAGCUAGGGUUGGACGGAGGGCCGGCCAUGGAGUUGGAGAUGCAGAGGACGAACGGGAGCAGAGGGGGUAUGUCGCUCCACGAUGGUGGUCAUCUACCUCCGGUCCACUUCCCCGUCCGCGCGGCCGGAUCUCCACCCCCUAAACUUCCCUGACCAGAUCAAGCAAUUGUUCCUCCCCGAUCAGUUCGUCGACCUCGAGAUGCAACCCGUAUGCCGCUCCUGCAGUUCCUUGUAGAACUGAUCCUCCCUGACCUACAGCCGUAGUCGUUCGUCUUCGUUCGGCCAUCAUUGAUGAAGAGAAGAAUUACAAGAGCGCGUUGCCUAAGUGGACGCUCCCACAUGACCAUGAGGCUGUUGAAAAAGGCAUGUGAGGAGAUCUACGAACUGAUGAAAUUUAACAUCCACAUGAAUAUCAAGGGCCGGUCAAUUGGACAAACAUUUAAGAGUAUCUGUCAAGCUGCACGCAUGAUGCUGAAGGUCAAGAUUAGCAUUUUCCUGAAAUUUUCAUUAGCUGAUGGUAAUUUUUUAUAGGUCUCGGGAUACCCGAUCAGUUGAAAUCUAAGAAUGCGCACAGGUACAGUCGUUUUGUUGUUCAUAGGGUAAAUAAUAAGAAUGGAUACAUGUUUGUGAUAUUGCAUAAAUAGGCAUCAUUCUUCACACCAAGAGGAUGGAAAGAUUUUCUUUGACAACAUGGCAGCACCUGUUUACUAUCCAUGGCUAUACUCUGCAUCAUCAUCAAGUUUUGGGUACUUCGUGUUGCAACUUAUUUUACAAUCUUGAAUAUUGUUUUGUCAGAAAUAACUAAAGUGGUUCCUUAUUCUGCCAUCCACAAUAUGUUUCGUAGUUCUUGGUCGUCUCUGCUCCGCCCCGCACGCGGACAAAUGGGCCAAGCCCAAUAAAGCACAGUAACCAUCACCUCCCCUGACCACGUCCUAGAUUUCGAGAAAUCCACAGACCCUCGCACCCUCCUCCAGAGAUCUUGGGUGCCCUAACAUGCGUGGCCGGGGAGGAUCCCGACCGAAAGGAAUGGGUCGGUCUCCCGACGGCGAGGUAGGAGGGACGUAGGAGCGAGCGAAGAUCCGGCCAAGCCGGCGCCAUUGGUCAUGGCCGCGGCGGCAGCGACGACCCCAUCCAAGUCCGCCUUCCGUGGUGGUCCUAUUCCUUCCAGCUCGCUCCGAGAGGGGAUCCGACCGCCUCUCCUUCAUCACCGGUCAGGCGAGCAUCCUCCCCUCCGACCCAUACCGAUGUAACCACAGGGGAGCAAAAUUAUUUUGGGGGAUUCGGAAGCUUGUGCGUGCACGCCAGAUUGGAUUAGACUGUAGCUGCGUUGGAUAACUUAGUCCUGUUUCAUGUUAUUUAAAGUGCUCAUGUGCUCUAGAUCUCUUCGAUUGGUUAGCAGAUUUAGAUUUUAGAACAUCUGGUGCCACAUAUAUUACACGUUUCGUCCUGCGGAAUCUUAGGUUUCAGAUCACUGGACAUGAGAUUUUGUUAUUUAGAGUGUUGGCAGCGGAGGAUUUAUUGGAUGCAUAACCUGAUUCUCUUUAGAUAUUCUUUUGCGUUACACUUUUCUUAUCAGUAUGCAAAGGUGUGUUAAUGUUUUGUUGUAUUGAUAAACCUUCUCCCAAAUAUAUGUAUUUGAGCUGUACGUGAGGCUCGUACUAAUAAUUCUGAAAAGAAUGUGAGCCCUCCUCCCGAGUCACUAUUGCUAUGAGAUGUGUCUUGUUACCUGCACUUCUUUUUCUAGCACUUAGAGAGAUGUGCAUGCUUAAACAUUAAGUUUGGGAUUUGGUGGACGUCAAAUAGCUCAAAUUUACGCACAGUAUGACUCAGUUUACUCUUUUGAUACGUCCAGAAUAUCUGGUGUUGACAUGGAAGAAGCCCCUAUGCCGGCACUUCCAAGUUUCAGAUAUCGUCUUCUUCAGGACCCCUACAUCUUUGAGAUCCUUACAUGUAGGAACGUGAAGUAGGUCUGGCAGGACGGACAGAGGGAAGGUGAGGAAAGCUCCCUAAGCCGAAGGAGAGAUGGUGCCCGGAGGAGCACUAGCGCUUCCUCGACAGUCUCCUCAGGUCAGUACAGCGUCAUGCCAUGAAGACAUGUCCUAUUCUGCUCUGAACUAGCUAAUCUGCAGUCCCUGAACUAGCUGAUUGAUUUGUGUGGAUUUCAGGUUUGACGGCGCCUAGAAGAAGAUCGAGGAGCACAUCUGCACCAAGACCGUGGUACUGGUAAUCCAAAUUCAUUCCCGCUCAUUAUGUAGAAGCUUGGCCUUGCCACCAGGCUUCCGCCGCAAUACCCAAGCCGCAGGCUUGCCGUGCCGCAGCCGCCG